GGUUCGUUACCGUGAACGCAUCACCAUUCUUCGAGGGAAUCAUGAGAGCAGACAGAUCACACAAGUUUAUGGUUUCUAUGAUGAAUGUUUAAGAAAAUAUGGAAAUGCAAAUGUUUGGAAAUAUUUUACAGAUCUUUUUGACUAUCUUCCUCUCACUGCCUUGGUGGAUGGGCAGAUCUUCUGUCUACAUGGUGGUCUCUCGCCAUCUAUAGAUACACUGGAUCAUAUCAGAGCACUUGAUCGCCUACAAGAAGUUCCCCAUGAGUAGGGUCCAAUGUGUGACUUGCUGUGGUCAGAUCCAGAUGACCGUGGUGGUUGGGGUAUAUCUCCUCGAGGAGCUGGUUACACCUUUGGGCAAGAUAUUUCUGAGACAUUUAAUCAUGCCAAUGGCCUCACGUUGGUGUCUAGAGCUCACCAGCUAGUGAUGGAGGUAUG
This 435-nucleotide long non-coding RNA is filed under the name Pan troglodytes (chimpanzee). RNAcentral's name for it is "long non-coding RNA NONPTRT014244". The record is from RNAcentral. Lineage: Eukaryota; Metazoa; Chordata; Mammalia; Primates; Hominidae.